GCUGGGGUCGGUAACGUGGCCUUGUAACUCAAGUGAGGGCUUUAAGGUGAUGGGAUGUUGGCUCUAGCCAAUGAGUCGGAUUCAAUUGGCUAAUUGCUGGCUUGCCCAGUCCAAGUCAAGAGUUGGGCCUUGUAGUCCUAGCGAAAGCUGGGAUUAUUCUGCCCCUAAAGUGGGAGGGUACUGCGUGAGGCUGGUUUCACAGAGCAGCGUUCACCUCCCGCUCUUGACAGUGGAUGGAUUACAGGCCGGUGCCGUUUGGUCUCAACAUGGCUUCAUUGGUUGAUCUCAAUUAGACUAUCACCUUU
RNAcentral lists this signal recognition particle RNA (305 nucleotides) under Ricinus communis (castor bean). Its description in RNAcentral is "Plant signal recognition particle RNA". It matches the Rfam family "Plant signal recognition particle RNA". The record is from Rfam by way of RNAcentral. Lineage: Eukaryota; Viridiplantae; Streptophyta; Magnoliopsida; Malpighiales; Euphorbiaceae.